GGAUGUGAGGGCGAUCUGGCUGCGACAUCUGUCACCCCAUUGAUCGCCAGGGUUGAUUCGGCUGAUCUGGCUGGCUAGGCGGGUGUCCCCUUCCUCCCUCACCGCUCCAUGUGCGUCCCUCCCGAAGCUGCGCGCUCGGUCGAAGAGGACGACCAUCCCCGAUAGAGGAGGACCGGUCUUCGGUCAAGGGUAUACGAGUAGCUGCGCUCCCCUGCUAGAACCUCCAAACAAGCUCUCAAGGUCCAUUUGUAGGAGAACGUAGGGUAGUCAAGCUUCCAAGACUCCAGACACAUCCAAAUGAGGCGCUGCAUGUGGCAGUUUGCCUUUCUUU
Molecule: unclassified non-coding RNA, 331 nt
Organism: Pan paniscus (pygmy chimpanzee)
Lineage: Eukaryota; Metazoa; Chordata; Mammalia; Primates; Hominidae
Gene: 7SK
Rfam family: 7SK RNA
About the family: 7SK was discovered as an abundant small nuclear RNA in the mid-70s but a possible function has only recently been suggested. Two independent studies have found that 7SK RNA binds the CDK9/cyclin T complex (known as elongation factor P-TEFb).
Source: Ensembl